CCGAAACUAAGUGAGCUACUUUAAAACAGCUUUUAGAGCGAACCCGUCUCUGUUGCAAAAGAGUGGGAUGAUUAUUGAGUAGAGGUGAUAUACCUACCGAACUUAGAGAUAGCUGGUUUUUUAAGAAAAGAAUUUUAGUUCAGCCCCGAGCCUCCCCGUUACACAAAAAUUUAUUAAGGUCCGGGAGUUAUUCAAAUAAGGCACAGCUUAUUUGAAACAGGACACAACCUAGAAUAUAGGGUAAGACAAAUUUAAUUUUAAAUAAGUGGGCCUAAAAGCAGCCACCUUUCAAAAAGCGUCAAAGCUUAGUAACAAUAAGGUUCCCAAUAACCUCUACAACUUCUAACCCUCACACACUAUUAAAUUACCCCAUAAAACUAUGGGAGCUAUUAUGCUAGAACUAGUAACAAGAAAAAGAAUUUCUCCAAAAUGUAAGCUUCAGCCACAAUAGACAAACUACCGGCAAUUAACGCCUUUAAACUAACUAUAUUAACAUCACCAAGAAAAUCCUAUAAACCCCAGCGUCAACCUUACACCAGC
This 540-nucleotide ribosomal RNA is filed under the name Boophis spinophis. RNAcentral's name for it is "partial 16S ribosomal RNA". It matches the Rfam family "Bacterial large subunit ribosomal RNA", at positions 715 to 1664 of the family's 2925-position model. The record is from RNAcentral. Lineage: Eukaryota; Metazoa; Chordata; Amphibia; Anura; Mantellidae.